This 867-nucleotide ribosomal RNA is filed under the name Leuconostoc mesenteroides. RNAcentral describes it as "bacterial SSU rRNA". It matches the Rfam family "Bacterial small subunit ribosomal RNA", at positions 1 to 881 of the family's 1533-position model. Lineage: Bacteria; Bacillati; Bacillota; Bacilli; Lactobacillales; Lactobacillaceae. The record is from RNAcentral.
GAUCCUGGAUGCGUAGAGUUGAUCCUGGCUCAGUCGUAACAAGGUAGCCGUAGAGUUUGAUCCUGGNCUCAGUCGUAACAAGGAAUCCGUAUGGACAACCUGCCUCAAGGCUGGGGAUAACAUUUGGAAACAGAUGCUAAUACCGAAUAAAACUUAGUGUCGCAUGACACAAAGUUAAAAGGCGCUUCGGCGUCACCUAGAGAUGGAUCCGCGGUGCAUUAGUUAGUUGGUGGGGUAAGGCCUACCAAGACAAUGAUGCAUAGCCGAGUUGAGAGACUGAUCGGCCACAUUGGGACUGAGACACGGCCCAAACUCCUACGGGAGGCUGCAGUAGGGAAUCUUCCACAAUGGGCGAAAGCCUGAUGGAGCAACGCCGCGUGUGUGAUGAAGGCUUUCGGGUCGUAAAGCACUGUUGUAUGGGAAGAACAGCUAGAAUAGGAAAUGAUNUUUAGUUUGACGGUACCAUACCAGAAAGGGACGGCUAAAUACGUGCCAGCAGCCGCGGUAAUACGUAUGUCCCGAGCGUUAUCCGGAUUUAUUGGGCGUAAAGCGAGCGCAGACGGUUUAUUAAGUCUGAUGUGAAAGCCCGGAGCUCAACUCCGGAAUGGCAUUGGAAACUGGUUAACUUGAGUGCAGUAGAGGUAAGUGGAACUCCAUGUGUAGCGGUGGAAUGCGUAGAUAUAUGGAAGAACACCAGUGGCGAAGGCGGCUUACUGGACUGCAACUGACGUUGAGGCUCGAAAGUGUGGGUAGCAAACAGGAUUAGAUACCCUGGUAGUCCACACCGUAAACGAUGAACACUAGGUGUUAGGAGGUUUCCGCCUCUUAGUGCCGAAGCUAACGCAUUAAGUGUUCCGCCUGGGGAGU